Molecule: ribosomal RNA, 433 nt
Filed under: Synalpheus williamsi
Lineage: Eukaryota; Metazoa; Arthropoda; Malacostraca; Decapoda; Alpheidae
Description: SSU rRNA
Rfam family: Eukaryotic small subunit ribosomal RNA
Source: RNAcentral
UUCUAACCCUAAACGAUGCUAACUAGCAAUUCGCCGUCGUUAUUCCCAUGACGUGGCGAGACGCCCCCGGGAAACCUCAAGUCUUUGAGUUCCGGGGGUAGUAUGGUUGCAAAACUGAAACUUAAAGGAAUUGACGGAAGGGCACCACCAGGAGUGGAGCCUGCGGCUUAAUUUGACUCAACACGGGAAACCUCACCAGGCCCGGACACCAGAAGGAUUGACAGAUUAAGAGCUCUUUCUCGAUUUGGUGGGUGGUGGUGCAUGGCCGUUCUUAGUUGGUGGAGUGAUUUGUCUGGUUAAUUCCGGUAACGAACGAGACUCUGGCCUACUAACUAGUGGAUGGGUGUCCUGGUAACGGGCCCCAUCCGAUAAUGUCUUCUUAGAGGGAUGAGCAGCGAGUAUAGCUGCAGGAGAUUGAGCAAUAACAGGUCUG